AUUGAACGCUGGCGGCAUGCCUUACACAUGCAAGUCGAACGGCAGCACGGGUGCUUGCACCUGGUGGCGAGUGGCGAACGGGUGAGUAAUAUAUCGGAACGUACCUUAUUGUGGGGGAUAACCCAGCGAAAGCUGUGCUAAUACCGCAUAAUCCCUUAGGGGGAAAGCGGGGGACCGUAAGGCCUCGCGCAAUUAGAGCGGCCGAUACCUGAUUAGCUAGUUGGUGGGGUAAAGGCUCACCAAGGCGACGAUCAGUAGCUGGUCUGGGAGGACGAUCAGCCACACUGGGACUGAGACACGGCCCAGACUCCUACGGGAGGCAGCAGUGGGGAAUUUUGGACAAUGGGGGCAACCCUGAUCCAGCAAUGCCGCGUGAGUGAAGAAGGCCUUCGGGUUGUAAAGCUCUUUUGUCAGGGAAGAAACAGCAGCUCUAACACAGUAUGCGAAUGACGGUACCUGAAGAAUAAGCACCGGCUAACUACGUGCCAGCCGCCGCCGUAA
Molecule: ribosomal RNA, 501 nt
Filed under: uncultured bacterium
Lineage: Bacteria
Description: partial 16S ribosomal RNA
Rfam family: Bacterial small subunit ribosomal RNA
Source: RNAcentral